This 309-nucleotide long non-coding RNA is filed under the name Phaseolus vulgaris (common bean). RNAcentral's name for it is "long non-coding RNA (PVUL_LNC004359)". Lineage: Eukaryota; Viridiplantae; Streptophyta; Magnoliopsida; Fabales; Fabaceae. The record is from RNAcentral.
AGGAAUGCUGACUUGACAUCCAUUUGAUGUACCUCUCUAUCUCAAGGUAUGUCAAAAAACUCUCAAGUUUUGUUCUUCUCAAUCAUAUACAACUCCUCCUCCAUUUCCUUUUUCCACUUUGGGUCAUUGAUAACUUCUAUGUGAUCAGCAGGUUUACAUAUUCCAACGUUACAUCUCUGAUAUAUGUCGGAGAGUAAUUGAGUGCCUUUAAUUGGUGGAUCAUCUUUCAUUUCAUAUUUUUGCAUCUUGAGAAGCCCUUGACCAAGCUUCUUGUGUCAUAACUCAGUAGUAUUUUUCUUUGUUGUUGAA